CAGCACGGGAGCAAUCCUGGUGGCGAGUGGCGAACGGGUGAGUAAUAUAUCGGAACGUGCCCAGUCGUGGGGGAUAACGCAGCGAAAGCUGUGCUAAUACCGCAUACGAUCUACGGAUGAAAGCGGGGGAUCGCAAGACCUCGCGCGAUUGGAGCGGCCGAUAUCAGAUUAGCUAGUUGGUGAGGUAAAGGCUCACCAAGGCGACGAUCUGUAGCUGGUCUGAGAGGACGACCAGCCACACUGGAACUGAGACACGGUCCAGACUCCUACGGGAGGCAGCAGUGGGGAAUUUUGGACAAUGGGCGCAAGCCUGAUCCAGCAAUGCCGCGUGCAGGAUGAAGGCCUUCGGGUUGUAAACUGCUUUUGUACGGAACGAAACGGCGAGCUCUAAUACAGUUUGCUAAUGACGGUACCGUAAGAAUAAGCACCGGCUAACUACGUGCCAGCAGCCGCGGUAAUACGUAGGGUGCGAGCGUUAAUCGGAAUUACUGGGCGUAAAGCGUGCGCAGGCGGUUAUGUAAGACAGAUGUGAAAUCCCCGGGCUCAACCUGGGACCUGCAUUUGUGACUGCAUAGCUAGAGUACGGUAGAGGGGGAUGGAAUUCCGCGUGUAGCAGUGAAAUGCGUAGAUA
This 631-nucleotide ribosomal RNA is filed under the name uncultured Rhodoferax sp. RNAcentral describes it as "bacterial SSU rRNA". It matches the Rfam family "Bacterial small subunit ribosomal RNA", at positions 70 to 696 of the family's 1533-position model. Lineage: Bacteria; Pseudomonadati; Pseudomonadota; Betaproteobacteria; Burkholderiales; Comamonadaceae. The record is from RNAcentral.